Molecule: long non-coding RNA, 437 nt
Organism: Etheostoma spectabile (orangethroat darter)
Lineage: Eukaryota; Metazoa; Chordata; Actinopteri; Perciformes; Percidae
Exons: 5
Source: RefSeq, a predicted model, not a curated record
CAGUGGUCUGCAGCAUUCUGAAAGCUGCCCCCAAAGACUCUGAAGCCCAAGGCGGUGCUCUUCAGGCAGAACUCCAUGACCUCUGUGCUGGCAGUGAGACAGAAGGCCUGGGGGUUUCUUCAUUGGGACAGGAGAUGGGCAGCUCAUUAAGCUUGCUGUGGACAGGGACUAUCACACCACCUGUCCCAGGGUCCUCUACAGGGCCCCUGACGACCGCCAAGUGUUUCCCAAAAUGCAUCUGGAUCAAGUGGAUCUUAAACAUGUGUACUUGCCACUUCAGAACCAGUUGAUGCGUGUACCUGUGUCAAAGUGCAGCACAUACACAAAUGUGCAGGACUGUUGGUCUGCACAGGAUCCGUACUGCGUCUGGUGCGGCACUAAAAAAAGUUGCACAUUUGAAGAUGACUGCCAAGAUUCCGACUGGUAUCCAUCCUUAC